RNAcentral lists this ribosomal RNA (2799 nucleotides) under Xanthomonas oryzae X11-5A. RNAcentral's name for it is "bacterial LSU rRNA". It matches the Rfam family "Bacterial large subunit ribosomal RNA". Lineage: Bacteria; Pseudomonadati; Pseudomonadota; Gammaproteobacteria; Lysobacterales; Lysobacteraceae. The record is from RNAcentral.
AGCGCACACGGUGGAUGCCUAGGCGGUCAGAGGCGAUGAAGGACGUGGUAGCCUGCGAAAAGUGUCGGGGAGCUGGCAACAAGCUUUGAUCCGGCAAUAUCCGAAUGGGGAAACCCACUGCUUCGGCAGUAUCCUGCAGUGAAUUCAUAGCUGCUGGAAGCGAACCCGGUGAACUGAAAUAUCUAAGUAACCGGAGGAAAAGAAAUCAACCGAGAUUCCCUAAGUAGUGACGAGCGAACGGGGAGCAGCCCUUAAGCUGGAAUGGCUUUAGAAAAACAAUCUGGAAAGAUUGGCCAUAGAAGGUGAUAGCCCUGUAUUUAAAAGGGCCACUCCAGUGAAGACGAGUAGGGCGGGGCACGUGAAACCCUGUCUGAAUAUGGGGGGACCAUCCUCCAAGGCUAAAUACUCCUGACCGACCGAUAGUGAACCAGUACCGUGAGGGAAAGGCGAAAAGAACCCCGGAGAGGGGAGUGAAAUAGAUCCUGAAACCGUGUGCGUACAAGCAGUAGGAGCUCGCAAGAGUGACUGCGUACCUUUUGUAUAAUGGGUCAGCGACUUACUGUUCGUGGCAAGCUUAACCGUAUAGGGGAGGCGAAGGGAAACCGAGUCUGAUAAGGGCGCAUAGUCGCGGGCAGUAGACCCGAAACCGGGUGAUCUAGUCAUGGCCAGGGUGAAGGUGCCGUAACAGGUACUGGAGGCCCGAACCCACGUCUGUUGCAAAAGACGGGGAUGAGCUGUGAUUAGGAGUGAAAAGCUAAUCGAACCCGGAGAUAGCUGGUUCUCCUCGAAAGCUAUUUAGGUAGCGCCUCGGACGAAUACUACUGGGGGUAGAGCACUGUUAUGGCUAGGGGGUCAUCGCGACUUACCAAACCAUUGCAAACUCCGAAUACCAGUACGUACUAUCCGGGAGACACACGGCGGGUGCUAACGUCCGUCGUGAAAAGGGAAACAACCCAGACCCACAGCUAAGGUCCCAAAUUCACUGCUAAGUGGAAAACGAUGUGGAAAGGCAUAGACAGCCAGGAGGUUGGCUUAGAAGCAGCCACCCUUUAAAGAAAGCGUAAUAGCUCACUGGUCGAGUCGGUCUGCGCGGAAGAUUUAACGGGGCUAAGCAGUGAACCGAAGCUUGGGGUGCAUAAAACGUGUUUUAUGCGCGGUAGAGGAGCGUUCCGUAAGCCUGCGAAGGUGGAUUGAGAAGUCUGCUGGAGGUAUCGGAAGUGCGAAUGCUGACAUGAGUAACGAUAAUGCGGGUGAAAAGCCCGCACGCCGAAAGCCCAAGGUUUCCUUGCGCAACGUUAAUCGACGCAGGGUUAGUCGGUCCCUAAGGCGAGGGCGAAAGCCGUAGUCGAUGGGAAGCAGGUUAAUAUUCCUGCACCUCGCGUGAGUGCGAUGGAGGGACGGAGAAGGUUAGGUGUACCGGGCGUUGGUUGUCCCGGGGAAAGGCGGUAGGUUUGGAUCUUUGGCAAAUCCGGGAUCCUUUAAGACCGAGCACCGAGACGAGCCUUUAUGGCGAAGUCACUGAUACCACGCUUCCAGGAAAAGCUCCUAAGCUUCAGCUCACGAAGACCGUACCGUAAACCGACACAGGUGGGUAGGAUGAGAAUUCUCAGGCGCUUGAGAGAACUCGGGUGAAGGAACUAGGCAACAUGGCACCGUAACUUCGGGAGAAGGUGCACCCUUUUUGGUGGCUCAUGCGAGCUAUAGCUGAAGAGGGUCGCAGAAACCAGGCCGCUGCGACUGUUUAUCAAAAACACAGCACUCUGCAAACACGAAAGUGGACGUAUAGGGUGUGACGCCUGCCCGGUGCUGGAAGGUUAAUUGAUGGGGUCAGCCGCAAGGCGAAGCUCUUGAUCGAAGCCCCAGUAAACGGCGGCCGUAACUAUAACGGUCCUAAGGUAGCGAAAUUCCUUGUCGGGUAAGUUCCGACCUGCACGAAUGGCGUAACGACAGCGGCGCUGUCUCCACCCGAGACUCAGUGAAAUUGAAAUCGCUGUGAAGAUGCAGCGUUCCCGUGGCAAGACGGAAAGACCCCGUGAACCUUUACUAUAGCUUUACACUGAACGUUGAGUUCGUCUGUGUAGGAUAGGUGGGAGGCUAUGAAACUGUGGCGCUAGCUGCAGUGGAGCCAUCCUUGAAAUACCACCCUGUCGUGCUUGACGUUCUAACCUAGGUCCGUUAUCCGGAUCAGGGACCGUGUAUGGUGGGUAGUUUGACUGGGGCGGUCUCCUCCUAAAGAGUAACGGAGGAGCACGAAGGUACGCUCAGCGCGGUCGGACAUCGCGCACUGUGUGCAAAGGCAUAAGCGUGCUUGACUGCAAGAUCGACGGAUCAAGCAGGUACGAAAGUAGGUCUUAGUGAUCCGGUGGUUCUGUAUGGAAGGGCCAUCGCUCAACGGAUAAAAGGUACUCCGGGGAUAACAGGCUGAUACCGCCCAAGAGUUCAUAUCGACGGCGGUGUUUGGCACCUCGAUGUCGGCUCAUCACAUCCUGGGGCUGUAGUCGGUCCCAAGGGUAUGGCUGUUCGCCAUUUAAAGUGGUACGCGAGCUGGGUUCAGAACGUCGUGAGACAGUUCGGUCCCUAUCUGCCAUGGGCGUUGGAAGUUUGAGAGGGGCUGCUCCUAGUACGAGAGGACCGGAGUGGACGAACCUCUGGUGUUCCGGUUGUCACGCCAGUGGCAUUGCCGGGUAGCUAUGUUCGGAAGCGAUAACCGCUGAAAGCAUCUAAGCGGGAAGCGCGCCUCAAGAUGAGACUUCCCGGGGCACAAGCCCCCUAAAGGAACCAUGUAGACUACGUGGUUGA